RNAcentral lists this ribosomal RNA (405 nucleotides) under uncultured Pseudomonas sp. Its description in RNAcentral is "bacterial SSU rRNA". It matches the Rfam family "Bacterial small subunit ribosomal RNA", at positions 976 to 1382 of the family's 1533-position model. Lineage: Bacteria; Pseudomonadati; Pseudomonadota; Gammaproteobacteria; Pseudomonadales; Pseudomonadaceae. The record is from RNAcentral.
AGGCCUUGACAUGCAGAGAACUUUCCAGAGAUGGAUGGUGCCUUCGGGAACUCUGACACAGGUGCUGCAUGGCUGCGUCAGCUCGUGUCGUGAGAUGUUGGGUUAAGUCCCGUAACGAGCGCAACCCUUGUCCUUAGUUACCAGCACGUUAUGGUGGGCACUCUAAGGAGACUGCCGGUGACAAACCGGAGGAAGGUGGGGAUGACGUCAAGUCAUCAUGGCCCUUACGGCCUGGGCUACACACGUGCUACAAUGGUCGGUACAAAGGGUUGCCAAGCCGCGAGGUGGAGCUAAUCCCAUAAAACCGAUCGUAGUCCGGAUCGCAGUCUGCAACUCGACUGCGUGAAGUCGGAAUCGCUAGUAAUCGUGAAUCAGAAUGUCACGGUGAAUACGUUCCCGGGCCUU